UACGUAGGCAGCAAGCGUUGUUCGGAGUUACUGGGCGUAAAGAGUGUGUAGGCGGUUCUCUAAGUUUGGUGUGAAAUCUCCCGGCUUAACUGGGAGGGUGCGCCGAAAACUGGAGGGCUUGAGUAUGGGAGAGGAAAGCGGAAUUCCUGGUGUAGCGGUGAAAUGCAUAGAUAUCAGGAGGAACACCUGUGGUGUAGACGGCUUUCUGGACCAUCACUGACGCUGAGACACGAAAGCGUGGGGAGCAAACAGG
Molecule: ribosomal RNA, 253 nt
Filed under: uncultured bacterium
Lineage: Bacteria
Description: partial 16S ribosomal RNA
Rfam family: Bacterial small subunit ribosomal RNA
Source: RNAcentral